RNAcentral lists this unclassified non-coding RNA (312 nucleotides) under plant metagenome. Its description in RNAcentral is "partial contains 5.8S ribosomal RNA, internal transcribed spacer 2, and large subunit ribosomal RNA". The stretch from base 1 to 105 matches the Rfam family "5.8S ribosomal RNA", at positions 50 to 154 of the family's 154-position model. The record is from RNAcentral.
GAAAUGCGAUAAGUAGUGUGAAUUGCAGAAUUCAGUGAAUCAUCGAAUCUUUGAACGCACAUUGCGCCCCUCGGUAUUCCGUGGGGCAUGCCUGUUCGAGCGUCAUCUACACCCUCAAGCUCUGCUUGGUGUUGGGCGUCUGUCCCGCCUCCUUCGCGCGCGGACUCGCCCCAAAGUGAUUGGCAGCCGGCGUACUGGUCCCGGAGCGCAGCACAUGUCGCGCAAACGAGUGCCUUGGUACGGCGGCGUCCAUAAGCCCCUCUCUCACGCUCUUGACCUCGGAUCAGGUAGGGAUACCCGCUGAACUUAAGC